AUUGAACGCUGGCGGCAGGCCUAACACAUGCAAGUCGAGCGAGCGGCGGACGGGUGAGUAAUGUAUGGGGACUGCCCGAUAGAGGGGGAUAACUACUGGAAACGGUGGCUAAUACCGCAUACUAUCGGAUAACCCAUAUGGGAUUAGCUAGUUGGUGAGGUAAUGGCUCACCAAGGCGACGAUCCCUAGCUGGUCUGAGAGGAUGAUCAGGCAAACUGGGACUGAGACACGGCCCCGACUCCUACGGAGGCAGCAGUGGGGAAUAUUGCACAAUGGGCGCAAGCCUGAUGCAGCCAUGCCGCGUGUAUUAAGAAGGCCUUCGGGUUGUAAAGUACUUUCAGUCGGGAUGCGUUACCGACAGGAGAAGCACCGGCUUACUCCGGGCCAGCCGCCGCGGUAAUUC
Molecule: ribosomal RNA, 403 nt
Filed under: uncultured bacterium
Lineage: Bacteria
Description: partial 16S ribosomal RNA
Rfam family: Bacterial small subunit ribosomal RNA
Source: RNAcentral